This 665-nucleotide long non-coding RNA is filed under the name Sorghum bicolor (sorghum). RNAcentral describes it as "long non-coding RNA (SBIC_LNC013393)". The record is from RNAcentral. Lineage: Eukaryota; Viridiplantae; Streptophyta; Magnoliopsida; Poales; Poaceae.
CUUUCUAUAGAAAAUUAUUGUUUGCUUUUGUAACUAUCGUGGAUGGUUCAACUCAAUCCAAAGUUUGUCGUGUUACCUAGUGCAUAUAUAACGAAUCACAUUGUCAGUUUUAUAACUAUUACUGAAUUGCUAAAAUCGAUUUACCAAUACAUAUAUGAAAUUUUUUAAACGGCAUACCUUAAGCCAAAAUCCUAGAUUCACUGAGGGUGGGAGCCAUGUUGAAGGAGCGAAACCAAGGCUUGCACGCAGAGUAAAAGAAAGGAGAGCAAAACCAAGUUGGUGUCGAAUAACAAUGUAGAAUUUUCUACAACAAGAUAAUUUUAUAUUAGUACAUACAUCACGUAGCAUCAAGCAUAUAUUAGUACUCCCUGUAUUUUUGCUAUUUUUUAAUAUAUAACAUUAAGGACAAGUAAACGGAUUCAUGCGAACUAAUUCGGUUGCCAGAAAUAUCACAUAUUUAAAAACCGAGAAAGCAGUGUUCAACUUACUUGCCAUGGUUGUUGAUAGUAUAUACUAGUAAUAGUCCAAUGACAUAUACGUACACGAGUGUGGAUCACUUUCCAUCAAUAGCUUUGAACAGAUGAUCAGGAGCUCAUGAGAAUCUAUGACCAUAAUACCUCAUCAUGUAUGUAGAAACGAAAACACCAACCCCAACCCAGCCAUAA